UGCUGCAUGGCUGUCGUCAGCUCGUGUCGUGAGAUGUUGGGUUAAGUCCCGCAACGAGCGCAACCCUUGCCUUUAGUUGCCAGCAGUUCGGCUGGGCACUCUAAAGGGAACUGCCGGUGUUAAACCGGAGGAAGGUGGGGAUGACGUCAAGUCCUCAUGGCCUUUAUGACCAGGGCUACACACGUACUACAAUGGCCGAUACAAAGGGCAGCGACACUGCGAGGUGAAGCCAAUCCCGUAAAAUCGGUCUCAGUCCGGAUUGGAGUCUGCAACUCGACUCCAUGAAGUUGGAAUCGCUAGUAAUCGUGGAUCAGCAUGCCACGGUGAAUACGUUCCCGGGCCUU
This 344-nucleotide ribosomal RNA is filed under the name uncultured Desulfobulbus sp. Its description in RNAcentral is "bacterial SSU rRNA". It matches the Rfam family "Bacterial small subunit ribosomal RNA", at positions 1039 to 1382 of the family's 1533-position model. Lineage: Bacteria; Pseudomonadati; Thermodesulfobacteriota; Desulfobulbia; Desulfobulbales; Desulfobulbaceae. The record is from RNAcentral.